This 73-nucleotide transfer RNA is filed under the name Stegodyphus mimosarum. It matches the Rfam family "tRNA". From Rfam's summary of the family: Transfer RNA (tRNA) molecules are approximately 80 nucleotides in length. Their secondary structure includes four short double-helical elements and three loops (D, anti-codon, and T loops). The record is from Rfam by way of RNAcentral. Lineage: Eukaryota; Metazoa; Arthropoda; Arachnida; Araneae; Eresidae.
GCCUUCGUGGUGUAGUGGCCAUCACGCUCGAUGCAUAAUGGAGAGGUCGGUGGUUCGAUUCCCGACGAAGGCG